UACGAAGGGGGCUAGCGUUGUUCGGAAUCACUGGGCGUAAAGCGCACGUAGGCGGAUUUUUAAGUCAGGGGUGAAAUCCCAGGGCUCAACCCUGGAACUGCCUUCGAUACUGGACGUCUUGAGUCCGAGAGAGGUGAGUGGAAUUCCGAGUGUAGAGGUGAAAUUCGUAGAUAUUCGGAAGAACACCAGUGGCGAAGGCGGCUCACUGGCUCGGAACUGACGCUGAGGUGCGAAAGCGUGGGGAGCAAACAGG
Molecule: ribosomal RNA, 253 nt
Filed under: uncultured bacterium
Lineage: Bacteria
Description: partial 16S ribosomal RNA
Rfam family: Bacterial small subunit ribosomal RNA
Source: RNAcentral